AUGCUCACUUCAGCAGCACAUAUACUAAAAUUGGGACAAUAAAAAGAAGAUUGGUGGCCCUUGAACAAGACUGACACACAAAUUUGUGAAGUGUUCCAUUUUUUU
Jaculus jaculus (lesser Egyptian jerboa) is the source of this 105-nucleotide small nuclear RNA. Lineage: Eukaryota; Metazoa; Chordata; Mammalia; Rodentia; Dipodidae. The record is from Ensembl.